RNAcentral lists this ribosomal RNA (484 nucleotides) under uncultured bacterium. Its description in RNAcentral is "partial 16S ribosomal RNA". It matches the Rfam family "Bacterial small subunit ribosomal RNA", at positions 30 to 507 of the family's 1533-position model. The record is from RNAcentral.
AUUGAACGCUGGCGGCAGGCCUAACACAUACAAGUCGAGCGGAUGAAGGGAGCUUGCUCCUGGAUUCAGCGGCGGACGGGUGAGUAAUGCCUAGGAAUCUGCCUGGUAGUGGGGGAUAACGUCCGGAAACGGGCGCUAAUACCGCAUACGUCCUGAGGGAGAAAGUGGGGGAUCUUCGGACCUCACGCUAUCAGAUGAGCCUAGGUCGGAUUAGCUAGUUGGUGGGGUAAAGGCCUACCAAGGCGACGAUCCGUAACUGGUCUGAGAGGAUGAUCAGUCACACUGGAACUGAGACACGGUCCAGACUCCUACGGGUGGCAGCAGUGGGGAAUAUUGGACAAUGGGCGAAAGCCUGAUCCAGCCAUGCCGCGUGUGUGAAGAAGGUCUUCGGAUUGUAAAGCACUUUAAGUUGGGAGGAAGGGCAGUAAGUUAAUACCUUGCUGUUUUGACGUUACCAACAGAAUAAGCACCGGCUAACUUCGUG